CAAUCUGCCACAUUACCGAUUGACAAUAAACGUUUACUGUAAUGUUCAACUGUUGUCUAUCGUUUAAAUUAUUAUGAAAGCAUGUCGGAUUACCUGAAAUCGCUGGUCUUUUAUUGAUAAACUGGGAGGAGGGGUGCGAAUCGGUCGGUGUGAUGGCCGACGGCUGCGCUUACAUGACGCCCGUGAACAUCACGCCCUUUCCCAUCCUGCGCGCAGGCGGAAGUUUACAGUCCUGGCUCAUCCGAUUCUCCAUGCUCAGAGUCUAAUCAAACAAUAAAACAUCAGCAUCCGCCUCUAGCAUACCAUGACUGAACCGAGUCCGGCACAGAAAAGCUCACAGCCAGGUCAAGAGAUGGCGUCAGUGAAGCUGGAGGACUGCAGUCAAACACUGGAGCUCAAUGUGAUUGUCAAAGAAGAGGAAGAGGAGGAUGAGAGAAGAACCGAGGAAGAGAACGGGGGAGUAGAACAGGAAAGGGAAGAUGAACUGGAGAGGGAAGAUGGUAACAUUGACUCCGAUAUGGAAGAAGAGGAGGACCAGAAAGGAGGAGGAGAUCUGGCUAACCCAGGACUUGUUACUGUUAAAAGAGAAGAAGAGGAGGAGGAGGGGGUCGGAGAGGAGGAGGUUGGGGACAGGACCAACCCAGGUAAUCACUGAUCAGAACAUCGGAGACCAGUUUCAUGGAACCCAGCUCCCUAUAUAGAGCACUACCUUUGAGGAGGGCCCAGAGGGCUGAGUGACUGCUUAUAGCUGUCAUUCUUGUAUGUACUAAACUGUGCCCCCUAACCAAAUAACUCCUGAUCAGUUUAAAUUAAAUAGGGCUCUUAGAGGAGUCAUCUUCCCUUUCUACCUUCCUACACACCAAUGCAUAGUGUUAUAUACAGUAUAAUAAACUGGGUGGGUCGAGCCCUGUAUGCUGAUUGGCUGACAGCCUUGGUUUAUCAGACCGUAUACCACGGGUAUGACAUAACAUUUAUUUGUACUGCUCUAACUACGUUGGUAACCAGUUUAUAAUAGCAAUAAGGCACCUCGGCGGUUUGUGAUAUAUGGCCAAUAUACCACGGCUAAGGGCUGUAUCCAGGCACUCCUCCUGUAUUUAACCCCUGUGAUGUUGUUAUAGAAACAGGAGAGGGUGCCAGCUCAGACAGAGAGAGACCGUUCCUCUGCUCCCAGUGUGGUAAGAGGUUCACUGCACCAAGCAGCCUGAAGACUCACAUGCAGAGACACAGCGGAGAGAAACCCCACCAGUGCUCCGUCUGUGGGAAGCGCUUCCUGCGGUCCACAGACCUGAAGAGACACCAGAUGAUCCACAAAGGUAAGAGAGACACUCACACACCUGGCGUCGCUCCUCACACACCUGGCGUCGCUCCUCACACACCUGGCGUCGCUCCUCACACACAUCUCUCUUGGAACACUGUCAAUCAACGUAUCCACACCAGUGCACCUGUUUAUCAGUUACAUAAGUUGAUCUAUAUGGUGUAGGAUCAUUUCCAUGUAAAACGACCCAUGAGCACCAACGUGAAGUUCAUUGGAGCAUGUCAAAUUGGGUGUCAAAUGAAAGCAUAGAGCCUAUAUUUUUAAGAAAUGAAGGCAUACAUACAUUUUGAACCAUUUUCCAUCCCCAAAAAUGUGAAUAAGCAAAGGCUUAUUGGACAAGGGGUCUUAAAAAACAUCUACCAGAAAAAGUCCUAGAAGGUAUCAGAAAUACAUCAAAACAGAAUAAUAUUGAAGUAAAAACCCUGCCAACUAAUAUCAACACUUUUAUAUUUAGUUUUGGAUAAAUUUGACUGAAACAUUGCCUUGUGCCUUGAAAUACAGUUACUAAAAACCCACAUCUUGAAUAUAUUUUCUAAUGUCUCUCCCUCAUGAGGAGGAUAAUGAAAGUUCACAAAAGUAACAAGUAAAUGUAGACCUACCAAUUAGUUAUAGUGUUUUCACUGAUAUCAAAUUCGUUUAUGAAUUCAAAAUUAUUUGACCCCCCCUCCAAAUGUUUUUAUCGGUAACAGAAAUUCUGCUCUUGAAUAGACUAUAAUGGGACAUCAUAGUAGUUACAAACCUCAGUUGGGUCACAAACCAAUCAAUCACAUGUAUUUAUAAAGCCAUUCUUACAUCAGCUGAUGUCACAAAGUGCUGUACAGAAACCCAGCCUAAAACCCAAACAGUAAGCAAUGCAGGUGCAGAAGCACGGUGGCUUGGAAAAACUCCCUAGAAAGGCCGAAACCUAGAGAGGAACCAGGCUAUGAGGGGUGGCCAGUCCUCUUCUGGCUGUGCCGGGUGUAGAUUAUAACAGAACAUGGCCAAGAUGUUCAAAUGUUCAUAGAUGACCAGCAGGGUCAGAUGAUAAUAAUAAUCACAGUGGUUGUCGAGGGUGCAACAGGUCAGCACCUCAGGAGUAAAUGUCCGUUGGCUUUUCAUAGCCAGUCAUUCAGAGUAUCUCUACCGCUCCUGCUGUCUCUAGAGUGUUUAAAACAGAAGGUCUGGGACAAGGUAGCACGUUCGGUGAACAGGUCAGGGUUCCGUAGCCGCAGGCAGAACAGUUGAAACUGGAGCAGCAGCAUGACCAGGUGGACUGGGGGCAGCAAGGAGUCAUUCGACCAGGUAGUCCUGAGGCAUGGUCCUAGGGCUCUGGUCCUCCGAUUGAAAGAGAGAGAGAGAAUUAGAGAGAGCAUACUUAAAUUCACACAGGACACAGGAUAAGACAGGAGAAAUACUCCAGAUAUAACAGACUGACCUUAGCCCCCCGACACAAACUAUUGCAGCAUAAAUACUGGAGGCUGAGACAGGAGGGGUCGGGAGACAUUGUGGCCCCGUCCGACGAUACCCCCGGACAGGGCCAAACAGGCAGGAUAUAACCCCACCCACUUUGCCAAAGCACAGCCCCCACACCACUGGAGGGAUUUCUUCAACCACCAACUUACUAUCCUGAGACGAGGCCGAGUAUAGCCCACGAAGUUCUCCCGCACGGCGCCAACCCGGACAGGAAGAUCACGUCAGUGACUCAACCCACUUAAGUGAUGCACCCCUCCUAGGGACAGCAUGGAAGAGCACCAGUAAGCCAGUGACUCAGCCCUCAUAAUAGGGUUUGAGGCAGAGAAUCCCAGUGGAGAGAGGGGAACCGGCCAGGCAGAGACAGCAAG
Long non-coding RNA from Salmo trutta (river trout), 3135 nucleotides. NCBI's taxonomy places the organism in Eukaryota, Metazoa, Chordata, Actinopteri, Salmoniformes, Salmonidae. The record is from Ensembl.